This 328-nucleotide ribosomal RNA is filed under the name uncultured eukaryote. RNAcentral describes it as "partial 18S ribosomal RNA". It matches the Rfam family "Eukaryotic small subunit ribosomal RNA", at positions 1470 to 1796 of the family's 1831-position model. The record is from RNAcentral.
CCCUUAGAUGUCCUGGGCCGCACGCGCGCUACACUGACGGAGCCGGCGAGCUUACCCCUUUGCCGAAAGGCAUGGGAAAUCUUUUGAAUCUCCGUCGUGCUGGGGAUAGAUCAUUGCAAUUAUUGAUCUUGAACGAGGAAUUCCUAGUAAGCGCAAGUCAUCAGCUUGCAUUGAUUACGUCCCUGCCCUUUGUACACACCGCCCGUCGCACCUACCGAUUGAAUGGUCCGGUGAAAUCUUCGGAUUGAGACUUUGAUUUCUUCACGGAAAACGCUGUUUUAAAAAGUUGAUUAAACCUUACCAUUUAGAGGAAGGUGAAGUCGUAACA